GGUCCUAUAGCUCAGUUGGUUAGAGCGCAAGUCACCCCUGCCCGCAUCUGGUAGACGACGUCGGCUAACAUUAAUAUAGGUGGUGCUAAUAACGCCAAGGUCGCGAGUUCGACCCUCGUUGGGACCA
Molecule: non-coding RNA, 127 nt
Organism: Arachnomyces sp. PD_36
Lineage: Eukaryota; Fungi; Ascomycota; Eurotiomycetes; Onygenales; Arachnomycetaceae
Source: the annotation of a GenBank genome assembly